AGGACGAACGCUGGCGGCGUGCUUAACACAUGCAAGUCGAGCGGAAAGGCCCUUCGGGGUACUCGAGCGGCGAACGGGUGAGUAACACGUGAGCAACCUGCCCCUGGCUCUGGGAUAGCCUCCGGAAACGGGGAUUAAUACCGGACAUGACCUGCUGCCGCAUGGUGGCGGGUGGAAAGUUUUUCGGCCAGGGUGGGGCUCGCGGCCUAUCAGCUUGUUGGGGGGGUGACGGCCCACCAAGGCGACGACGGGUAGCCGGCCUGAGAGGGCGACCGGCCACACUGGGACUGAGACACGGCCCAGACUCCUACGGGAGGCAGCAGUGGGGAAUAUUGCGCAAUGGACGGAAGCCUGACGCAGCGACGCCGCGUGCGGGAUGAAGGCCUUCGGGUUGUAAACCUCUUUCAGCUCCGACGAAGCGAAAGUGACGGUAGGAGCAGAAGAAGCACCGGCCAACUACGCGCCAGCAGCCGC
RNAcentral lists this ribosomal RNA (474 nucleotides) under uncultured bacterium. RNAcentral's name for it is "SSU rRNA". It matches the Rfam family "Bacterial small subunit ribosomal RNA", at positions 26 to 518 of the family's 1533-position model. The record is from RNAcentral.